RNAcentral lists this long non-coding RNA (936 nucleotides) under Felis catus (domestic cat). RNAcentral's name for it is "lncRNA (ENSFCAG00000046928.1)". Lineage: Eukaryota; Metazoa; Chordata; Mammalia; Carnivora; Felidae. The record is from RNAcentral.
AUGUGCAUAAAUAAAGGCUGUGGCGUGGUGGCUGGAGCAGCCAUGCUAUGGAAAUUUUGCAAUGGUCCAGGACUAGUGCUCCAGUUCAUGGACCCUAGGUCCUGUUGGCACCUGGGUGACAGUAUUGGAAAUGAGAGGAAAGUUAUGGUCUCAGAGGAACAGCUAUGGGAACUCUUGCGUCUGGGCCUGCAGAGCCCCUGCUCAGCUAGCAGUGGGAGGGAGGGAAGAAGCAGCAUUGCUAACCACGAUGACGUUGUGAUGUUUAAGAAAUAUAUUUCAAGAGGACCCCAUCUGAGAACACGGCGUGGACAGCUGAGGUUUAUGGAGUUGAGGACACCAACAAUAAAACAGGUUAAGUCAUCCUUUGCAGAACAAGUUUACAGACUCCUGAUCUACAUGAUGAUUACAGAGACCUGGACUAAUUAAGGAGUUAGCAAUAAGAGAGAAAGAAGAACCAGUUAUGAAGACACUGAAGAAUUUUUACUUCAAGUUCCUGAUAAAUGCUUAAGGGGUUGUUAAAGCACAAGUCUACCUCAGGUAUUACAUUAAAUUUGAGUAGUUUUGCCACUGUGAGCGGCAGGUACGAUACCACCCUCUUGCCUCAGAAAAGAAAAGAAAAAGGAAAAGAAGAGCCUAUUCUGAUGUCCUGAUUUGUUACAAAAUAACUAAUCUACUAUCUUUGAAAAAAAAUGCCCAUAUUUUGUCUCAAGUUUUAUGAUUUGGGGAAACAAACAAGGUACCCAGUGAACUCAAUGGCUGGGAAAGUGGAAUAAUUCAAGAUAGUGUAGACAGAAGAAAUGUUUUAGACAUUUGCUGAAGUACAGCUUCAACCAAAGUGGAAAAACUGCAGAAUUCUGAGAAACUAAGAGCAAUGGACAUGUGUGAAUUCUGAAGAGGAAAAAUAAAUCUUUAUAGAAAGAUAAAUAAAUAGAUAAU